Molecule: ribosomal RNA, 326 nt
Filed under: uncultured eukaryote
Lineage: Eukaryota
Description: partial 18S ribosomal RNA
Rfam family: Eukaryotic small subunit ribosomal RNA
Source: RNAcentral
CCCUUAGAUGUCCUGGGCUGCACGCGCGCUACACUGAUGCGCUCAACGAGUUUACGAUCUUGCCUGAAAUGGCUGGGUAAUCUUUUUAAAAUGCAUCGUGAUGGGGAUAGAUUAUUGCAAUUAUUAAUCUUCAACGAGGAAUUCCUAGUAAGCGCGAGUCAUCAGCUCGUGCUGAUUACGUCCCUGCCCUUUGUACACACCGCCCGUCGCUCCUACCGAUUGAGUGCUCAGGUGAAUAAUUCGGACUGCAGCAAUGUUUGGAUCCCGAACGUUGCAGCGGAAAGUUUAGUGAACCUUAUCACUUAGAGGAAGGAGAAGUCGUAACA